UACGUAGGCAGCAAGCGUUGUUCGGAGUUACUGGGCGUAAAGGGUGCGUAGGCGGCUUUUUAAGUUUGGUGUGAAAUCUCCCGGCUCAACUGGGAGGGUGCGCCGAAUACUGAGAGGCUAGAGUGUGGGAGAGGAAAGUGGAAUUCCUGGUGUAGCGGUGAAAUGCGUAGAUAUCGGGAAGAACACCCGUGGCGAAGGCGGCUCUCUGGGACGGUACUGACGCUGAGACGCGAAAGCGUGGGGAGCGAACAGG
Molecule: ribosomal RNA, 253 nt
Filed under: uncultured bacterium
Lineage: Bacteria
Description: partial 16S ribosomal RNA
Rfam family: Bacterial small subunit ribosomal RNA
Source: RNAcentral